This 600-nucleotide ribosomal RNA is filed under the name Wakarumbia mamasensis. RNAcentral's name for it is "partial 16S large subunit ribosomal RNA". The stretch from base 380 to 538 matches the Rfam family "Bacterial large subunit ribosomal RNA", at positions 2473 to 2632 of the family's 2925-position model. Lineage: Eukaryota; Metazoa; Arthropoda; Insecta; Coleoptera; Lycidae. The record is from RNAcentral.
CAUGUCCUUUUGAAAAUAAUUUAAGGUCUGAUCUGCUCAAUGAAAUUUAAAUUGCCGCAGUAUUUUGACUGUGCAAAGGUAGCAUAAUAAUUAGUUUUUUAAUUAAGAACUGGUAUGAAUGAUUGGACAAGAAAAUUACUGUCUCUUUUUUAAUUUUUAUUGAAUUUUAUUUUUAAGUGAAAAAGCUUAAAUUUUUAUGAAAGACGAGAAGACCCUAUAGAGUUUAAUAUUUUUUAAUAAUUUGAGUAUAGAAUUUUUUUUUAUUAAAGUUUAUUUGGUUGGGGUGAUUUAAAGAUUUAGAUAAUUUUUUAAUAAAAUAAAUUAGUGAUUUCUAAAAUAAGAUUCUAUAAUUUGUAAGUAUAAAAUAAAUUACCUUAGGGAUAACAGCGUAAUUUUUCUUUAAAGUUCUUAUUAAAAGAAAAGUUUGCGACCUCGAUGUUGGAUUAAAAUUAAUUUUUGGUGCAAUAACUUAAGAAUUAGGUCUGUUCGACCUUUAAAAUUUUACAUGAUCUGAGUUUAAACCGGUGUAAACCAGGUUGGAUUCUAUCUUUAGAUAGUUAAUAUAUUUUAGUACGAAAGGACCAAAUAUUUAUUAAAUUA